RNAcentral lists this ribosomal RNA (274 nucleotides) under Globigerina bulloides. Its description in RNAcentral is "partial 18S ribosomal RNA". The record is from RNAcentral. Lineage: Eukaryota; Foraminifera; Rotaliida; Globigerinidae.
GAUCUUGUGAGAGGUGGUGCAUGGCCGUUCUUAGUUCGUGUAGUGAUAUGUCUGCCUAAUCGCGUCACGAUAACCUAUUGGUCGACAACCCAAUUAUCACAACUGCAGCAUAACUCCCCUUGGGUGGGCGAGGCUCUGUGUAGGAUAGACCUCUGAACAGUACGCAACGAACGCGAUCGUAAUCCCUUGUUGAGUGGCCAUCCUGUAAGCUGCUGGAUUAGAACCCAGUGGUAUUAUCUCACCACAAUUUUCUGGUGAAUGGGCCAGUUUGAAA